Molecule: unclassified non-coding RNA, 328 nt
Filed under: soil metagenome
Description: partial contains 5.8S ribosomal RNA, internal transcribed spacer 2, and large subunit ribosomal RNA
Rfam family: 5.8S ribosomal RNA (bases 1-120)
Source: RNAcentral
GAUGAAGAACGCAGCGAAAUGCGAUACGUAAUGUGAAUUGCAGAUUUCAGUGAAUCAUCGAAUCUUUGAACGCACAUUGCGCCCGCCAGUAUUCUGGCGGGCAUGCCUGUUCGAGCGUCAUUUCAACCAUCAAGCCUUCGCUUGUGUUGGGGCCCCGCGGCUGCCGCGGUCCCCUAAAUCCAGUGGCGGGCUCGUCGUCGUACCGAGCGCAGUAGACAUCCUCGCUCCGGGAACCCGACGGGUGCCGGCCGUGAAACCCCCCACAUCAAGGUUGACCUCGGAUCAGGUAGGAAUACCCGCUGAACUUAAGCAUAUAAUAAGCGGAGGA